RNAcentral lists this ribosomal RNA (253 nucleotides) under uncultured bacterium. RNAcentral describes it as "partial 16S ribosomal RNA". It matches the Rfam family "Bacterial small subunit ribosomal RNA", at positions 524 to 776 of the family's 1533-position model. The record is from RNAcentral.
UACGGAGGGGGCUAGCGUUGUUCGGAAUUACUGGGCGUAAAGCGCACGUAGGCGGAUCAGCAAGUUAGGGGUGAAAUCCCGGGGCUCAACCCCGGAACUGCCUUUAAAACUGUUGGUCUGGAGGUCGAGAGAGGUGAGUGGAAUUCCGAGUGUAGAGGUGAAAUUCGUAGAUAUUCGGAAGAACACCAGUGGCGAAGGCGGCUCACUGGCUCGAUACUGACGCUGAGGUGCGAAAGCGUGGGGAGCAAACAGG